RNAcentral lists this small RNA (643 nucleotides) under Pongo abelii (Sumatran orangutan). RNAcentral's name for it is "retained intron". The record is from RNAcentral. Lineage: Eukaryota; Metazoa; Chordata; Mammalia; Primates; Hominidae.
CUGUGGAAGAAGCUAUGUCAGUACCAUUUUGCUGAAAAGCAGUUUUGUAGACAUUUGAUCCUUUCAGAAAAAGGUCAUAUUGAAUGGAAGUUGAUGUACUUUGCACUUCAGAAACAUUACCCAGCGAAGGAGCAGUACGGAGACACGCUGCAUUUCUGUCGGCACUGCAGCAUUCUCUUUUGGAAGGACUACCAUCUUGCUUUACUAUUCAAGGUACUUCCCCAUCUUGCCACACAUCCUGUGUUCGGGAUGAAAACGUUGCAUCGUGCUGCAUCUCAUGCACGUCAUCCUGGCCACUGCCCGGCUCGAUUCCAGCUCUCGCUGACUUGAGCUUUCACAGGACCCUGAGCAGGGCUGAGUGGCCACUUUGAUCACCUCAGCAAGGACGAGAGUGUUUAUGAAAUAUUUUGCAGAACAACACCUGAGUGCUGAGGGAGGGUGCUAGAUGUGCCCAUAAACACUUCACCACACAGCACCUGGGUUGGCAGCACUGCCAGGGCAUGCCAUGGAGAGACCCAGCACUGACCCCAGAGCCUCUGGUCCCAUUUACCUACGUUCCUCCUAAGAUUCUGCCAGUCUUCAUCCACAAAAUUAAUUUUUCUGUCGUCACUUCUCAUAUUAAAUAUAAUUCUGGAUCCUUAGG